This 914-nucleotide ribosomal RNA is filed under the name uncultured Candidatus Poseidoniales archaeon. RNAcentral's name for it is "bacterial SSU rRNA". It matches the Rfam family "Archaeal small subunit ribosomal RNA", at positions 1 to 923 of the family's 1478-position model. Lineage: Archaea; Methanobacteriati; Thermoplasmatota; Candidatus Poseidoniia; Candidatus Poseidoniales. The record is from RNAcentral.
UUCCGGUUGAUCCUGCCAGAGGCGACCGCUUUUGGAGUUCGAUUAAGCCAUGCGAGUAGAAAGAAAUUAGAUUCUUUGCAAACUGCUCAGUAACACGUGGAUAACCUGCCCUAUGCUCCGGAAUAACCUCGGGAAACUGAGAAUAAUACCGGAUAGAUCACAACGCCUGGAACGGUGUGUGGUUCAAAGGUCACGGCAUAGGAUGGGUCUGCGGCGUAUCAGGUCGUAGGGGGUGUAACGGACCUCCUAGCCAUCGACGCGUACGGGUGUUGGGAGACAUAGCCCGGAGAUGGAUUCUGAGACACGAAUCCAGACCCCACGGGGUGCAGCAGGCGCGAAAACUUCACACUGCAGGAAACUGUGAUGAGGGAACUCCAAGUGCGCGCACUUAGUGUGCGCUUUUCUUGACUAUUAAUCGGUCAUGGAAUAAGGGCUGGGAAAGACCGGUGCCAGCCGCCGCGGUAAUACCGGCAGCUCAAGUGGUCGUCGCUUUUAUUGGGCCUAAAACGUCCGUAGCCUGUUUGGUAAAUCUGUGGGUAAAUCAACCAGCUUAACUGGUUGAAUUCUGCAGAGACUGCCAGACUAGGGACCGGGAGAGGUGUGGGGUACUCUAGGGGUAGGGGUAAAAUCCUGUCAUCCUUAGAGGACCACCAGUUGCGAAGGCGCCACACUGGAACGGAUCCGACGGUCAGGGACGAAGCCUAGGGGCACGAACCGGAUUAGAUACCCGGGUAGUCCUAGGUGUAAACGCUGUGAACUUGGUGUCGGGAGUCCGCAAUGGGCCCCCGGUGCCGGAGUGAAGAUGUUAAGUUCACUGCCUGGGGAGUACGGUCGCAAGGCUGAAACUUAAAGGAAUUGGCGGGGGAGCACUGCAACGGGAGGAGCGUGCGGUUUAAUUGGACUCAACGCCGGGA